UACAGAGGGGGCAAGCGUUGUUCGGAAUUACUGGGCGUAAAGGGCUCGUAGGCGGCCAACUAAGUCGGAUGUGAAAUCCCCGGGCUCAACCCGGGAACUGCGUCCGAUACUGGUGGGCUUGAAUCCGGGAGAGGGAUGCGGAAUUCCAGGUGUAGCGGUGAAAUGCGUAGAUAUCUGGAGGAACACCGGUGGCGAAGGCGGCAUCCUGGACCGGUAUUGACGCUGAGGCGCGAAAGCCAGGGGAGCAAACGGG
Molecule: ribosomal RNA, 253 nt
Filed under: uncultured bacterium
Lineage: Bacteria
Description: partial 16S ribosomal RNA
Rfam family: Bacterial small subunit ribosomal RNA
Source: RNAcentral